Molecule: ribosomal RNA, 131 nt
Filed under: Ipomoea nil (Japanese morning glory)
Lineage: Eukaryota; Viridiplantae; Streptophyta; Magnoliopsida; Solanales; Convolvulaceae
Source: RNAcentral
GUAUGCCGAUACAUACCAGCACUGAUGCACCGUGAUCCCAGCCAGAACUCCGAAGGUUAAGCGUGCCUUGGGCGAGAUCAGUAAACUAGGAUGGGUGACCCCCGGGGAAGUCCUGCCCGUGUAUGCAUCCC